RNAcentral lists this ribosomal RNA (440 nucleotides) under uncultured bacterium. RNAcentral describes it as "partial 16S ribosomal RNA". It matches the Rfam family "Bacterial small subunit ribosomal RNA", at positions 338 to 795 of the family's 1533-position model. The record is from RNAcentral.
CCUACGGGGGGCUGCAGUGGGGGAUAUUGCACAAUGGGGGAAACCCUGAUGCAGCGACGCCGCGUGUGGGAAGACGGUCCUCUGGAUUGUAAACCACUGUCCCCAGGGACGAAGUUGACGGUACCUGGUGAGGAAGCUCCGGCUAACUACGUGCCAGCAGCCGCGGUAAUACGUAGGGAGCAAGCGUUGUCCGGAAUUACUGGGUGUAAAGGGAGCGUAGGCGGGAUGGCAAGUUGGGUGUUAAAUCUACCGGCUCAACUGGGAGUCGCACUCAAAACUGCUAUUCUUGAGUGAAGUAGAGGCAGGCGGAAUUCCUAGUGUAGCGGUGAAAUGCGUAGAUAUUAGGAGGAACACCAGUGGCGAAGGCGGCCUGCUGGGCUUUUACUGACGCUGAGGCUCGAAAGUGUGGGGAGCAAACAGGAUUAGAUACCCGAGUAGUC